UGGCAAUAUGCAAUGGUGGACUCU
Molecule: non-coding RNA, 24 nt
Filed under: Arabidopsis thaliana (thale cress)
Lineage: Eukaryota; Viridiplantae; Streptophyta; Magnoliopsida; Brassicales; Brassicaceae
Source: RNAcentral